Molecule: ribosomal RNA, 468 nt
Filed under: uncultured bacterium
Lineage: Bacteria
Description: partial 16S ribosomal RNA
Rfam family: Bacterial small subunit ribosomal RNA
Source: RNAcentral
GACGAACGCUGGCGGCGUGCUUAACACAUGCAAGUCGAACGGAAAGGCCCUGCUUUUGUGGGGUGCUCGAGUGGCGAACGGGUGAGUAACACGUGAGUAACCUGCCCUUGACUUUGGGAUAACUUCAGGAAACUGGGGCUAAUACCGGAUAGGAGCUCCUGCUGCAUGGUGGUGGUUGGAAAGUUUCGGCGGUUGGGGAUGGACUCGCGGCUUAUCAGCUUGUUGGUGGGGUAGUGGCUUACCAAGGCUUUGACGGGUAGCCGGCCUGAGAGGGUGACCGGCGACAUUGGGACUGAGAUACGGCCCAGACUCCUACGGGAGGCAGCAGGGGGGAAUAUUGCACAAUGGGCGGAAGCCUGAUGCAGAAACGCCGCGUGCGGGAUGACGGCCUUCGGGUUGUAAACCGCUUUCGCCUGUGACGAAGCGUGAGUGACGGUAAUGGGUAAAGAAGCACCGGCUAACUACGUG